CCUACGGGUGGCUGCAGUGGGGAAUAUUGGACAAUGGGGGGAACCCUGAUCCAGCCAUGCCGCGUGUGUGAAGAAGGCCCUCGGGUUGUAAAGCACUUUCAGUGAGGAAGAACGCCUGGAGGUUAAUACCCAUCAGGAAAGACAUCACUCACAGAAGAAGCACCGGCUAACUCCGUGCCAGCAGCCGCGGUAAUACGGAGGGUGCGAGCGUUAAUCGGAAUUACUGGGCGUAAAGCGCGCGUAGGUGGCUUGAUAAGCCGGUUGUGAAAGCCCCGGGCUCAACCUGGGAACGGCAUCCGGAACUGUCAAGCUAGAGUGCAGGAGAGGAAGGUAGAAUUCCCGGUGUAGCGGUGAAAUGCGUAGAGAUCGGGAGGAAUACCAGUGGCGAAGGCGGCCUUCUGGACUGACACUGACACUGAGGUGCGAAAGCGUGGGUAGCAAACAGGAUUAGAUACCCCUGUAGUC
RNAcentral lists this ribosomal RNA (465 nucleotides) under Vreelandella stevensii. Its description in RNAcentral is "partial 16S ribosomal RNA". It matches the Rfam family "Bacterial small subunit ribosomal RNA", at positions 338 to 795 of the family's 1533-position model. The record is from RNAcentral. Lineage: Bacteria; Pseudomonadati; Pseudomonadota; Gammaproteobacteria; Oceanospirillales; Halomonadaceae.